GUUGUCAUCAUUCAGUUGGGCACUCUAAGGGGACUGCCGGUGGAUAAGCCGAGAGGAAGGUGGGGAGUGACGUCAAGUCCUCAUGGCCCUUACGGGCUGGGCUACACACGUGCUACAAUGGUGGUGACAGUGGGCAGCGAGACCGCGAGGUCGAGCUAAUCUCCAAAAGCCAUCUCAGUUCGGAUUGCACUCUGCAACUCGAGUGCAUGAAGUUGGAAUCGCUAGUAAUCGCGGAUCAGCAUGCCGCGGUGAAUACGUUCCCGGGCCUU
Molecule: ribosomal RNA, 269 nt
Filed under: uncultured Mesorhizobium sp.
Lineage: Bacteria; Pseudomonadati; Pseudomonadota; Alphaproteobacteria; Hyphomicrobiales; Phyllobacteriaceae
Description: partial 16S ribosomal RNA
Rfam family: Bacterial small subunit ribosomal RNA
Source: RNAcentral